RNAcentral lists this ribosomal RNA (252 nucleotides) under uncultured bacterium. RNAcentral's name for it is "partial 16S ribosomal RNA". It matches the Rfam family "Bacterial small subunit ribosomal RNA", at positions 524 to 776 of the family's 1533-position model. The record is from RNAcentral.
UACAGAGGGUGCGAGCGUUAAUCGGAAUUACUGGGCGUAAAGCGUGCGUAGACGGUCAUGUAAGUCGGAUGUGAAAGCCCCGGGCUCAACCUGGGAAUUGCAUUCGAGACUGCAUGGCUUGGGUGCGGAAGAGGGAAGCGGAAUUUCCGGUGUAGCGGUGAAAUGCGUAGAUAUCGGAAGGAACACCAGUGGCGAAAGCGGCUUCCCUGGUCCGACACCGACGUUCAGGCACGAAAGCGUGGGAGCAACAGG